GCCGCGUGGGGGAGGAAGGCCUUAGGGUUGUAAACCCCUGUCAGGUGGGACGAACCCCGGGUCGGUUAAUAAUCGGCUCGACUGACGGUACCACCAGAGGAAGCUCCGGCUAACUCCGUGCCAGCAGCCGCGGUAAUACGGAGGGAGCGAGCGUUGUUCGGAAUCACUGGGCGUAAAGGGCGCGUAGGCGGCCGAGUAAGUCGUGUGUGAAAGACCGGGGCUCAACUCCGUGUACUGCAUGCGAUACUGCCCGGCUAGAGAAAGGUAGAGGCGAGUGGAAUUCCCGGUGUAGCGGUGGAAUGCGUAGAUAUCGGGAAGAACACCUGUGGCGAAGGCGGCUCGCUGGGCCUUUUCUGACGCUGAAGUGCGAAAGCGUGGGGAGCAAACAGGAUUAGAUACCCUGGUAGUCCACGCCG
RNAcentral lists this ribosomal RNA (416 nucleotides) under uncultured Actinomycetes bacterium. Its description in RNAcentral is "bacterial SSU rRNA". It matches the Rfam family "Bacterial small subunit ribosomal RNA", at positions 396 to 802 of the family's 1533-position model. Lineage: Bacteria; Bacillati; Actinomycetota; Actinomycetes. The record is from RNAcentral.